Molecule: ribosomal RNA, 465 nt
Filed under: uncultured bacterium
Lineage: Bacteria
Description: partial 16S ribosomal RNA
Rfam family: Bacterial small subunit ribosomal RNA
Source: RNAcentral
GACGAACGCUGGCGGCGUGCUUAACACAUGCAAGUCGAACGGAAAGGCCCUGCUUGCAGGGUACUCGAGUGGCGAACGGGUGAGUAACACGUGGGUGAUCUGCCCUGCACUUCGGGAUAAGCCUGGGAAACUGGGUCUAAUACCGGAUAGGAGCCAUUUUUAGUGUGAUGGUUGGAAAGUUUUUUCGGUGUAGGAUGAGCUCGCGGCCUAUCAGCUUGUUGGUGGGGUAAUGGCCUACCAAGGCGGCGACGGGUAGCCGGCCUGAGAGGGUGGACGGCCACAUUGGGACUGAGAGACGGCCCAGACUCCUACGGGAGGCAGCAGUGGGGAAUAUUGCACAAUGGGCGCAAGCCUGAUGCAGCGGCGCCGCGUGGGGGAUGACGGUCUUCGGGUUGUAAACUCCUUUCGCUAGGGACGAAGCUUUUUGUGACGGUACCUAGAUAAGAAGCACCGGCUAACUACGUG